RNAcentral lists this long non-coding RNA (23119 nucleotides) under Medicago truncatula (barrel medic). RNAcentral describes it as "long non-coding RNA (MTRU_LNC000044)". The stretch from base 7253 to 7383 matches the Rfam family "MIR2599 microRNA precursor family". The record is from RNAcentral. Lineage: Eukaryota; Viridiplantae; Streptophyta; Magnoliopsida; Fabales; Fabaceae.
GUUGCUUGUAGUAAACAGGAAGCUUAGCAAUGGUCAUAGAAAUCUCAGACAUUCCAUUAAACAUCAUCGUUACUAGUGUGAAAAACAAAGCACCAGCAUAAACACCUGCGUCAUCCUGAUCAUCGCGAUGCAUCUCAGUCCGAAAAAACAGUGUCAUUGCAAUCAAUGCCAUGAUGAAAAGCUGAAAAACAAAGCAUGAAGAGAAAACCGUUAUGUCACAGAAAAUCAUGGUCAUGAAUGUAUAAAUGAAAAAGAUAAUCUAUUUACUUAUAUUUAUAAAAAAGAGCGGGAUAGAUUACAAACCUGAGUUAGCUUGAAGAUGUAAACAAACGAAUUCCUUUUCAUGAGCAAAUACUCUCUUGAGAAGUUAGCCUUUAAAAGCUCCGUCUUGUUGAGACCAUACUCUUUGGUGGUCAAAGCAGCUGGAUGGCUCUUCGUCUUGUCAAAUGGUAUGGAAAGCUCCUCAGCAAGUUUCCCACCAAUAUGGAAUGAUUGAAAUGCCUCGGCAAAUUGAGUAACAGUUACAUAUCGGUAUGGUUGAUCUCUGCGCACCCAGUACUGUGCUUGAUCCUUUUUGGAUGUUACUUCUUGAAGAAAAUCAGCAACACCUUUCCUUUCAGGACAUUUGAAACCCAUAGAUUCGAAAAAGUCAAGAACAUAUUCGCGGGGGCCAUGGUAUACAACUUGGCCAUCAGAUAUUAAGAUAAUGUCAUCAAAAAGAUCAUAAGUCUCAGGUGCUGGCUGGAGCAGUGAUAUAACUGCAGUGCCAUUCAUAAUGUGAACAUAUUGCCUCAGAGAGCUCACAAUUUGAAAAGUUGUGGAACUGUCCAGUCCAGUAGAAAUUUCAUCCAUGAACAAUGCAUUGGCUGGUCCAACCAACAUCUCUCCUGUGGUAACACGCUUCCUUUGUCCUCCGGAGAUACCACGCAACAUUUCAUCCCCUACCAUGGUAUCCGCACAUAUAUCCAACCCCAAAAUCUGCAAAAUUGUACACAUAAAAACUUAAUACAUUUGGCUUAUAAGACAAUUCAGUGUAUGACAUGAAUCAUAACUUUAUAGUGGUAGGCAAGACAUGAUAGAUCCUAUUCAAGGACGAUGUUAAUUGGAAGCAAGCAACCAAUAAAAAAAUGCAAUAUUAGUUUAAUUUUGACACACUGUCAGCGCAAUAAGUUUCACAUUGUUAACAAAUCACAAUCAAUCAUAUGUAUCUUUCUAGAAGCACUUAUGUUUAAAGUAAAACACUUUUAUUGAUCUGACAACUAAUUAAUUGAGCUGUAUUUUAGUAUUACCUUGAGUACAUAAUCUGUUGAUAUGCUUGAUUCCUGACCUUCAGUUGCAAUUGCCUGUUAUAUUAAAAUACAGUUAGAUAUGCAAAUACAGUAUAGUAUAUCUAAUUACUAUUGAUAUUAUCUUAUUUAAUGUAUACCUUCAUGUAGACAUCAAUAUCUGGGUCAGGCUUGAUAUUUGCUACCUUCUCUCUUCUAGAAAGCUCAGAUAGCAUGUCUGUGGAUCACAAAAACAGUAAUAAGUCAAGCUUUAGUCACACAGCAAAUUAGAUUUUGAAAACAAUAAUAUGGUGGUAAAUUGACUCACCGUAACGAGAUCCAACUCCUUGGCACCUUGCUGAGAAAGCUAAGGUUUCCCUCACAGUCAUUUCUCCAAUGUGAACAUCAUGCUGGCUGAUAUAAGCAGCAGUUCUUUGAGGUACAAACUCAUUCAGUCCGUGUCCAUUGUAGGUCACAUUCCCAGAUAGCUAUAUAAAUUAAACAUUGGUAUCAAAAUUAUGUAAUUUUAAAUAUUAAGUUUACUCUUUUUGCUAAAAAUGAAUUAUAUAGAUGAUGGCAUUAAAGGGAGGUGUGAUUAUUCACCUGAAAACUUGAAUCAAGCUUUCCUGAUAAAGCUAAAAGUAGUGUGGUUUUUCCUGAACCAGGAGGACCUAAGAGUAAUGUCAUCCUACGAGGUUUAAUAAUUCCACUAACAUCUCUAAGAAUUGCCACAUGCCUCUUUUUGGUUGGGAUGAUAUGAAGAAAAUUGAAUACACCCUGAAACAAAAAAAGAUAUAUAUUUUUUUUACUUGUGAGACUCAACUGCAAAAACAAAACAGAUAAAAAAAACAGAGAAAAGUGUUCAGCAUCAAUUUUCAGGUUCUGAUAUCUAUCCCUACCUCGACAACAUUAGUAGCAGCGUUAAUGAAACUAGGCAAAGCUCGACUUCCCACAAAAGCUUCGGCAUCAAUUUUCAGGUUCUGGUAUCGAACUUCAAUUGUUGGAAUAUCAAGUCCAACUCUAUAAUAAGAAGAAGAAACACAAAGCAUGUUGAGUUAUGAGAGAAAUAAGAUCAAAAGAAAAAAAGAAGCAAAAAAAGUACAUUUUCUAUAAUAAUUACCUAUCAACUCUUUCCUUGACCUUCAACAGAAACCCUUCAUUAUCCUCUUCAGCAACCCUAACCAACCUCUCCAAAAGCUUCUGCUUUUCUUUAAAAGCAAGAUCACCAACAUCAACUUCAUGAGCACCUCCAUGAGAAGCUGUCAACAAACCUUUUCUUAGACGAUUGUAAGUAGGUAGUUUUUCAAGUGCAGCCCAUUUGAGAGCUUCUUCAUCAUCUUCUUCACGUGAUGAUUUAGAGAAAACCUCAACUCCACUCUGUCUCCAAACAGUUGAACUUCUUGCUCUUAAACUAUUAGUAGCUCUGUAUAUAUCAGUCCCUUCCAUUUUUGCUUUGUUCAACAGCCUCAACACAAGCUUGUGUUUCUUAUUUUUCUUUUCAAGGCAAUACUGUUAUUAUGAAUUGAACCAAAACAUUAAACUAAAUGGAGUGUCGAAUAAAAUGAAAGAAUCAAAGAAUGAUGAAAGGAAAAAACUUGUUGUAUUGAUGUUUCUUUGUGGCAAAGGAAAUGAAUAUGGAAUGAGAAAACAUGUUUGUAUUUAUACCUUUGAUGCCAAAGAAGUGGCGGCUAUGGAGAGUCAAAUGUUGAAAUUUACGUGUUUUUUUAGUAAUAAAAAAAGUACUAGAAGGGACAGGAGAGAAAUAUAUGUCAAAUGGUCAAAUAAUGAAGGAGGACUAGACUAGGCAUCUUGGUUGGCCAUCAUGAGGAAACUUCGUCCUACAUAUUAAGGUGUAAUAUAUUUUCCAUAGAUAUUAUAGGACUAAAACAAGGCGGCCAAGGCCACUCAUUGAUAUUAUACAGUAAAAAUAAUAGAGAAAUAAAAACAAUAAAUACUAAUAAGAAUCAAAGAAAAAACAAGAGAUUUAAUCAUGGCUAUUAAACACCUUCUUCGUAGAGAGUAGGUGGUUAGUUUACGACAUACUUUGUGUGAGGGUAACGCUGCAACUGAUUUUUUAGCUAGAAAGGGUGCUCUUAGUGAUAGUAGCCUUGUUAUUUUGAAUGAAACCCCUCCUGAUAUGGCCUCUGUCCUCUUAGCAGAUGCCAUGGGUGUUGAGUUUAUUCGACCCUAGUAUGGAUGGGUCUUUUUUAGCUUUUUUUCCCUUUUUUUUCCCCUUUUGUUACCAAAAAAGAAAAAACAAGAGAAUAAAAUUCCAGCUCAAAAAAAAAAAAACACAAAAGAAUAACAUUUCAAUAAAAAAAUGGUAGUUAGGAAUCAACCAAAAGUAUCUAAGCAGCGACGUCAUUCGCUUGCAUUUUUUUUUUGUACACAUUUCUUUUCAUGUUUCAAAAAACAUAAUGUUUGAAAAGUUGGAAAUUCACAGGUUUACUGUUUUAUAGUCCUCACUUCCAAAAUAUAGACUGCUAGAACAAUCAUAACCUUGACAUUUGACUCGUAUAUAUAUUUUUUGGUCCAAACAUAUUUUUUUGACCGAAAAAAAAUCAGUAAUUUGAUAAUUUUUUUUAUAGUCUAUUUUUAGACAAAAUACACUAUAAAGAAGUGUGCUUAUGGUAAAUCACCUUUUAUUUUUCACUCAAAUAAAUUACUGGGCUUGAUGUGCCUCCUUUCUUACUCGAAAAUAGAAACAAAAGUGAAAAUCUUAAAGCAAGAGAAAAAAUAUAACGUAGAAUAUGUAACUAUUCUGCAAAAAUAAUUUAUGUGCAAUUCUAUAUACUAUUGCAGUCUUACACCAAAAAGUUCUUUAUUUGCAGGAUUAGGUGCACCAUCACAAAGGCGUAAAGGUUCAAAUUGUUGGAUCAUUAAAUGCAGGAACUGCAUACUUUGACCGGUUGCAAAUCUUUAUAAGAAAACUUGAAAGUCAAGUCAAACACAUAAUAUACAUAGUCCCUAUCUAAAUAAGCAUUUAUCCUAAGCGCAUGUAUAAGUUAUUUUUAUAACAAAAUAUAAAAUAAAUGUAAACAUGACAGACAUCAUACGAUGAAUGUUUCGAAUUUUUUUAACUAAUUAAUCAAGAAAAUCACAGUUGUGGAUGCGCCAGUGAAGCAUGAUCACAAGAACCGGCAAAGCUCCUGAAUAAAUAAAGAACACAAAAGAAGACACAUUUUUGUUUUGUUUUGAGAAAGCAAAAUAUUAUUAGCCCUUCUUUAGCGUGAGAAAAAAAGACACAUUUUUGUUUUGUUUUGAGAAAGCAAAAUAUUUGUAGCCCUUCUUUGGCGUGAGAGGUGGUAAAGAUGAAUAGAAAAAACAAUCCGUGAUCAAAUCAACAAUACAAGAGGAAACAAUCAGCAGCCUAACAAGUAAACAAGCUCACAAAGAACACAAAAGUCUGGAAAACAAAUACCCUCUAAAGGCCAAAACCCCGUACCGCACACACCCACAAGAAAACCCAAUUAUCACACAGCUUGCUACAGAACCUAUCCUGCUCCAUAGACUACUGGAGACACGAACUUUCACAUUAAUUCUAGAAAUGCAUCGUAGGCUUCAAGGAAGAGAAAAACAAACCUGGUGGACUGAACGGUGAUCGUCAAGCAUCAUAGUUUUCUUGUCAUGUCUGAACAGAACCUUCAACAAACUAUUGGAUGGUUGAGAACUCAUACUAAACUUGUGAUUUAAUAAAGAUUCAUAACACUUCAUAGCUUUCAUAGCUUCCUUAGGCUGACCAUCAUUAAAAAGCCAGUCCAUAAAUGUUGCAUUCAAAAUACCGUCAUAAGAGUUUGGACAGUGCUACUUAAGGUCGUCGAAGAGCAUGCUUGCUUUAUAUAAAUAUCCAACUUCAAGUAAACCGAAGUACACCAGUGUCCCCCCUCUUGAGGUACACCCUCCUAGAUUCUUCACAAAAACAAAAAAAAAAAAUCAAAAUAAAAUAAAAAACAAGCAGUUUUAUACAAAAGUUAGGACAAAUUACACUUACCUCCCCAAAAGUUUCACACAUACACCCCGCCUAAUUUUAUAGUGGACAAUAACCACCCCCAAGAUCUCUUAAAUCAAUAGAAACCUUCCUUUCCAACUUAACACCGUUACCUUUUCUGUUAAAACUAAAAGAACUAGUAUUUUUUGUCUGUUGAUGAAAACAAUAUUUCUUGAUUAAACUAGCUAAUAUUCCUGCCAUUGUUGGAAGCUUUACAAAUAUUUAUUUAUUUUUGUGAUAGAUGACACACUCCAUCCCUCACUUAAACGUAAGUUUGCUGAUAAAAUUAAAGCUUUCUCUUUUAAUCUGUCAUUGUUGAUUUGUGUGAACCGGAACUACCUCUAAAACCAAUAAAUACUACAAGCCUGAAUAUUACUAAAACCUCUAAACCAGAAAAUAAAUAAAUGCUAUCAAUUCAAUAUAUGCAUUGUAGGCUUCUUCAAGGUAGAGAAAAACAACCUGAUCCACUAAAUGGUGAAUCGGAGUUGACAUCCAUGGCUGUCCAGCAUAAGCCAUUUUAACUUUAUGGAAUUUGGGAGCAAAUAGAAUGUUCUGGAUAUUAAAAAAAGUCGAUUAGUUUCUAACUCAUUACAUGGGAUGUCUCAUUUUCGAACUAGUAAUCUUUAGAAUUUAAAAAUGAGUUAAUUAACCUGAUGUCUCUUAUAAAGAACAAGCGAUCCACCUGCAAGUGCGUAAGAAAGACUUUAGCCACACAAUGCAGUUCAAUAUGCAAUAAAUUGUUUUCAAGCAGUCUUUGUUGUGGUAAUAUUGUUAGAAAAAAAUAUAAAAUGAGAUGAAAAAUAUAAAUGGGCUCCCUUGUUUCUUUUGCUGGUGUUCACAUUAACGAUAGUGUCCACCCUCUUGAAGAACACCCUCGUAGAUUCUUCACCCAAAUAUAUAUAUAUAAAGUUUCUUUAGAACAAAUUAACAGUUUGAUAUAGAAUUUAGAACAAAUUACACUUGCCUCCCCUAAAGUUUCUUUAAAUGACACAUACACCCCACCUAGUUUUUUAGUGGGCAAUAACCACCCCUAAGAUCUCUUAAACAGACUAGCUUAUUGCUGCCAUUAGUGCACACUCCAUCCCUCUAAUACCAAUAAAAAUAAAUAAAGUGCAUUUGGUUGUUAGUUUAGAAAAAUGUUACCUAAUUAAUCAAGGAAAUCACAGUAGAAGCAGAUCACAUGAACGGACAAAGCUCCGGUGACCGGAAAUGGUAGACAAGCAUGAUGCAGUGAAUAACUCUGGCAACGUGAGAGAGAACAGAUCUGAACAGAUUGAUGGCGGGUGAGGACGAUGGUGGUUGACAAUGGAGGGAGCGCUGGUGAAGAAGACGGUGGUGGAAGACGGUGGUGUUGGAUGGUGGUGUGGGGAGGAAUAGAGAAAACGCAGAGAGAGUUUUCCGACAUUUGUAACAAUCUUUUUCUAUUAUAUUCACGUUAUGUUUUUAGUUUAUAUUUUUAUUUCUUUAAUUUUUGUGCCAAUAACUCAUUUUUUUUUUUUUUUAAAUAAUUAUUUUAAAAGUUGUCAUAUAAAUGGAUGUUCAAAUGACACAACUCAAAAAAAUAUUAUAAAUUGAUUUAUAAAAUUAUCUUUAAUAAAUUUACAGAAUUAAAAUAAAAGAAAAUAAUAAAUAGUUAAUGGCAUAAUUUGAGACGUUUAGUAUUUUAAUUUUUAAACCAUAUUUAUUUCUUCUUAUAACUUAUUCAAACUCCACCACGAAUAAACCAUAUCUAAUUCUUCAUAUUCAACUGCAUUUAGUUAUGGGGAACGAAUAGCUCAACCGAUUUAAGAUAGGCUUAAUUACACUUUUGGUCCUUCCAUUUUGAUCAACUCACAAAAAUGAUCCUACCUUUUUUAAAUCGAACAAAAUUGUCCUUAAAUUAUAUGUUUUUUGCAGUUUUAGUCCUAUCUCCCUGUUUCCAACUCCAGAAACGCACAGAAAUGACAGUUUUAGUCCAAUCACCUAUGCUCAACCAUGAAGUAAACAAGGAAUAAAACAUGUGGGUACAAGGAAUCUACUUUAUUCAGCACACUAAGCUAAUUUUCGAGACAUAUUACAUACCUGAAACAUGUCUUAGAAAUUAGAGUUUUUCUUGGUUUGUGUGCUGAACAAGUAGAUUCCUUUUACCCACAUGAUUUAUUCCUUGUUUAUUUUAUGGUUGAGCAUAGGUGGUUGGACUAAAAUUAUCAUUUUUGUACGUUUCUGGAGUUGGAAAUAGGGGGAGAUAUGACUAAAACUACAAAAAACAUAUAGUUUAGGGACGAUUUUGUUUGAUUUAAAAAAGGUAUGACCAUUUUCGUGAGUUGGUCAAAAUGCGAGGACAAAAAGUGUAAUUAAGCCUUUAAGAUAAUGAGUUGGAAAUCCUAGUUCAAAUCCAAACAAAGGAUAAAAAACUAAUUUAACAACUAAACACUAACAUUUUGUCAUUGAAAAAAGAAGAAGCUGCGUCUAGUUCCAUAACAUGGUUUGGACUAAACAGCUUGGGGAGUAUAUGUCGCCUCUAUUUGAUCAGCAAAAUGAAAGGCAAAGGGGACAACACUUCAGCAAUAGGAACCCAUGGAACUCCAACAAGGAAGAUUCUUCCAGAAUUUUCAUUUUAAUACACAUUGGAAGAGUGCAAACAAUGCUAUAUUUACAUGCACGGUCUAUAAUAGAGAAUAUCAAUUGAAUUAGUGUUUAUAUAAAACUGAGUUCUGAAAAAACUUUUUAUUUACUAAAACUAGUUAGCGGGGUAUAACACUGCAUACACAUAAUUUUGCAUAGAUUCCUUCCUUGACUAGGAAAAUUAAGUCUAGAUCACUUGAUAGAUUGACAGCUCAGGCAUAUCUUCUAGCAUUCAAAUUCAGCAUUGAGAGUGCAUAUCAAUUAUCAAGAGAAGAAGAAAUAAGAACUCAAGUGAUUAUAAAAGGUUGGCCUCAAAAUAUAUUUCAAUGACAACUCAAAUUAAUACAACAAAAGUAUUACAUCAUUUAUAUGCUUGUACAUGUAUCAAAAGAAACUGCAAAUUGGCAGUAGGGUGAAAUAAAAUUCCUAUCAACUACUGCAUGUAAGAUGGCUACAACAAAUACAAUAUGAGCAAAUGAAAAUUUGGGGAGGAAAAUAAAAAAUAAAAAGAAUCUUUCUUGUUGGAAAAAGAGUGCAAACUAUCUCUUUUGGAAGUUAAAGGACUUGAUUGCAACAGCGAAAAUAAAGGCAAAGCCCACGGCAAUUCCACCGACCACAAGUGCACACCAUCCUAUGAAGUCGUGUUGGAUACCAAAAAAGUCGUCAAGGAAAGUCUUUACAUCUUUUCCGCCUUCGGUCGACAUAACAGUAGUUAUAUCUCCAAAUUGAGAUGCAACCAAUCCAUAGAUGGUCCAUGCAACUGGACAUGCCCAAUAGUACCAUCUCCACCAUAUUGGAAUGCUCUGUUAUCAAAAGGCAAGAAAAAACAGUUAGGAUACAUAUAACAUACAUCCAUUGAAAAAGUCUUUCACAAUGUACUCUAUACAAAUACUUACAGGUCUCGGGACGACAAAUCCUGAAAAGAGAUUCCAAAUUGCAUAAAAUGCAGCAGCCACAAUAGAAGCAACAUGGUGAUUUGGUGUCACUGCCACAGCCAUCAUACCAUAGAAGGUGAAGUAGAGCAAUGUGAAGUACAUGAAGAAUAGAUACCACAAGAAUUUCUCUGCGGUCCAGUCAAAUCCAAUCAUGGCAUAGACUAUAACUCCAUAUAUCACCGCUUGAGCAAAGACAUAAGGUAGCUCUACCAAAAUCUGCGACAAAAAGGGUGUUGUUAAUAUUAGAUUUUCAAGUUUUCAAACUCAAUUAAGUAAUAAUCAUUUCAGCAGCGUAAACAACAAUAAUAGUUACCUGUGAAAAUGCAUAUGGUAAGGCAGAAUACAUUCCAGCAGCCUUUUCUCGAUAAAAUACAGUCCUUUCAACUGCAACCACCGGCUGCACAGAAGAAGAAUUUUGUACUCCAAGGAAGAGAACAGCGGUAUACAUUGAACCAACAGCGUUCAACAGGUCUUGUCUACUUGAGCUGCAAGUCACCAAAAGGAAUUAGAAUUACAGUGUAGAUAAAUAGAGAGACGGCAAUAUAAUAUUUGGCGAAUAAUAUGAACUUAAUUUUUAACUAUAAAUAGUUUAACUUACUGUUUUCCACCGAGGUCCCAGAACAUUGUUCCAAACAUCAAGCCUAUGAAGGUAGUGAAGAAAAACCUCACAGCAGUGUAUGGUGGAUUACGCCAAUAUGACCAACGUUGUUUCCAUAAGCAGGCCUGGCAUUGAACCAAGAAAGACUGCGAGAAUUGAGUAGGGAAAUGAAGAUCCUUUGAACCAGGAGCAGGCACGCUAAGUUCUUGAAUAAGUUGCUUGUUUCUCCUGAAGAGUCGAACCAAACAAUUUAAGCAUGUUGCAAAUCAAGAAAACAAACAUGGCACCAAUAGCUACUAUAGUUUAUAGAUUCAUAUCCAUAUCCAUAUGCAUUAGUUUACCUAUAUAAAUCUGAAUUUUUGUACAAAUCGGUAAAGUCAACACCCAAAUUAAGUUCUUGUGCUGUAGUUGUAACUUCCAACAUCCAUGUUGCUGGGUUAUAUCCAUCUUUGAUUUUACUAACUCCGUCAAUGCUCUGGACAAUGAAAGUUAUUUGAAAACUUCAGUAACCAGUUACAAUCAAGAAAGAGAGUCAUUCACUUAAGGUAAUAUUAAACUAAAGUAGGAUCCUACCUCGAAAUACUUGAUCAAAUGAGUAGAAUGACGACCCAGUGGUCCAACAUAUAUUUCUUGUCCUCCACGCUUCAUAAGGAAUAGCUAGAAGUGCAUAUGGAUAAUGUCAGAUUCAAGUCUAAUGAAGAGGAAAAGAACUAUAAAAGGAAGCUUCAUUUGUCAUUGAUAUUUAUUAUGAUUAUUCACUACAUACCUCAUCAAAUGCUUCAAAUAUGUCAAUGCUAGGUUGAUGGAUGGUACACACAACUGUUCUUCCCGUGUCCACUGUGUUCCUUACAGUUCGCAUAACAAUUGCAGCCGCUCUAGCAUCUAAACCAGAAGUAGGCUCAUCCAUGAAAAUUAUAGAUGGAUUAGCCACAAGUUCGACUGCAAUAGUCAGUCUCUUGCGCUGUUCAGUUGAGAGACCACUCACACCAGGCAAACCAACUAGAGAGUUCCUCAACGAGUUCAGCUCCACUAGAUCCAUGACUUCAUCAAUAAACAUCUGCAACCAUUUGUAAUGUUCAUUAAGUAAGGUCAACAAAUGUAAACAAAGCCACGCCGAAUAAAGCACGUGCUAACUAACCUUUCUGGUGUUGGAAUCAACUCCUGAAGGUAAACGAAGCCACGCCGAAUAAAGCAAAGACUCAUAAACUGUAACAUGCGGUGAAUGGAUAUCAUUCUGCUCACAGUAGCCAGAAAUUCUAGCAAAUGUUUCUUGCUUUUUAGGGUACCCAGAAACCUUGAUGUCUCCAUCAAUAUAUCCACCUGUUUUCCUACCAGCCAGAACAUCCAUCAGAGUUGUUUUACCAGCUCCACUUACACCCAUCAAAGCUGUGAGAACACCGGGCCUGAAUGCACCACUAACACCCUUCAAAAGCACUAAUCUGUCUUCUCUAACACCUUGCUCCUUCAUUUCCUGCCAGUUGAAAUAAAAGUCAUGUGAGAAAAGUUAUUAUUGUUUGAGAAAAUAUGAAUUGUUAAAGAUAUCUAAAAGCCGAACGUAUCAGUUUGUGCGAAUCUUACCACUGGCAUAUCAACAGAGUAUACAAUAUCAUCAAAAGUGAUAGAAUGUGGUUCAAAUGGAAGAACCAUUCCCUUUUUCUUUCCAUGGCUGGACUCUGUAACAGAAUCAGCUCUUCCUGAACUUUCUGAAAGACAAUAAGAAAAAUGUUCAGCUACUAAACUAUAUGAUAAACUACAAUAUGUUUGCCUUCAUGAGUGAUAUCUGAUAUGCAUAUAAUCAGGAAAGCUCACCAAUACGUGGUAAUUCAACUUCUUGUACGGUAGAUGAAUCAUCUUCUGAAUCUUCAGUUAUUGUUGCACUAGGCUUAUCAAAUGGGCCUAGUACAGCGAGAGCCACACCAAACGCCACGUUGAAAAGAAAGACAAAUCCAACCAAUCCCCCAACGCCUAUCCAAUACCAAUAUGCAUGUGGGAAGAACCCUCGGGUAUCGAGAUAAUCUUUUCCCAAAUCAGCAGUAGCCUAUAAUUAAGUAUAUAAAAUAAAUUAGGCUUGCAAAUUUCUCAAACAAAAGUAGAUGAAUUAUGAAGUUGCAAGCAAGCUCAAGUAAUUAAUUACAUUGUGCCAACUGUGCCCAAGAAAUUCAUUGGCCAUCAAAGCAUUCUGCCCAUACAUCAAAGGUGAGAUCCAGUAACCCCAAAUCCACCAGCCUUUGAUAUCCUCUGUUACAAUAGCAAUAAAAUGUAAGAAACAUUAAUUAGCUAAGGUUUCAUUUCCUUACAAAAAAUUAAAUUUAAUAAGAUUUUUAUCAUUUUUUGUUAAAAUUAAAUGUGUUAGUCAAUUUAACUUACUUCUUGAGAGAAUGAAGCCACCCAAUGACAGAAAUGUGAGAAGUGCAAAGGACCCAAAUGUAUUGGCAACAAUCAUGUUUCUACCCAGGGAUGCGAUGGCUCGGAACAAUCCUGAAGCCAUCUGACUCAUGAAAAACAACACAACGAACUGCUUGAACAUCCUGCCAAAAAUUCAAGACCUCACAUCAUAAGUAACACACAAAUGCAAACUAGAUAGUAGAAGUGACGUUCAAUACUACAUUCUCCAAACAGAAUAAAAGAAACUUCUUUUACCUUCCAACAUUUGGAUCAAAUCCAAUAACAUAGUAGGUAAGAAACACCCAAAGAGAAACUUCCAUUAAUGAAACGGGAAUCUUGAGAAUCCACGAAGGAAUAGCAUAUGCCCAUGAGGGAUAAAAUAGAAGGUCUCGUUGCUUGUAGUAAACAGGAAGCUUAGCAAUGGUCAUAGAAAUCUCAGACAUUCCAUUAAACAUCAUCGUUACUAGUGUGAAAAACAAAGCACCGGCAUAAACACCCGCAUCAUCCUGAUCAUUGCGAUGCAUCUCAGUCCGAAAAAACAGUGUCAUUGCUAUCAAUGCCAUGAUGAAAAGCUGAAAAACAAAGCAUGAAGAGUAAACAGUUAUGUCACAGAAAAUCAUGGUCAUGAAUGUAUAAAUGAAAAAGAAUUUCUAUUUCACUUAUAUAAAAGAGCGGGAUAGAUUCCAAACCUGAGUUAGCUUGAAGAUGUAAACAAACGAAUUCCUUUUCAUGAGCAAAUACUCUCUUGAGAAGUUAGCCUUUAAAAGCUCCGUCUUGUUGAGACCAUACUCUUUGGUGGUCAAAGCAGCUGGAUGGCUCUUCGUCUUGUCAAAUGGUACGGAAAGCUCCUCAGCAAGUUUCCUACCAAUAUGGAAGGAUUGAAACGCCUCAGCGAAUUGAGUAACAGUUACAAAUCUGUAUGGUUGAUCUCUGCGCACCCAGUACUGUGCUUGAUCCUUUUUGGAAGUUACUUCUUGAAGAAAGUCAGCAGCACCUUUCCUUUCAGGACAUUUGAAACCCAUUGUUUCAAAAAAGUCAAGAACAUAUUCGCGGGGGCCAUGGUAUACAACUUGGCCAUCAGAAAUUAAGAUAAUGUCAUCAAAAAGAUCAUAAGUCUCAGGUGCUGGUUGGAGCAGUGAUAUAACUGCAGUGCCAUUCAUAAUGUGAACAUAUUGUCUCAGAGAGCUCACAAUCUGAAAAGUAGUGGAACUGUCCAGCCCAGUAGAAAUUUCAUCCAUGAACAAUGCAUUGGCUGGUCCAACCAACAUCUCUCCUGUAGUUACACGCUUCCUCUGUCCUCCAGAGAUACCACGUAACAUUUCAUCUCCCACCAUGGUAUCCGCGCAUAUAUCCAACCCCAAAAUCUACAAAAUUAUACAAUAUAAAACUUAAUACCGUUGGCUUGUAAAAAAUUCAACAUACAACAUGAAACAUAACUUUAUUAUGGCAUGCAAGACAUGAUAAAGCCCAUGCAAGGACAAUGUAAAUUGGGAGUAACCAAUAAAAAAUGCAAUGAGUUUAAUUUUGAUACAUUGUCAAUUAAAAAGUUUUAUACUGUCAACUAAUCACUUUAUUAGUACUUAUGAAUAAAGUCGGACGUUUUUAUUGAACUGGCGAUUAUGAGAGGCUAAGUAUAAUAAUUGAACUAUAUUUAAGUCUUACCUUGAGUACAUAAUCUGUUGAAAUGCUAUACUCCUGACCUUCAGUUGCAAUUGCCUGUUAUAUCAAAAUAAAAUUAGAGAUGCAAAGAUAGUAUAGUAUAUCAAUUACUAUACCAUUACCGAUAUUGAUUGAUAAUAGCUUAUUUAAUGCAUACCUUCAUGUAGACAUCAAUAUCUGGGUCAGGCUUAAUGUUUGCUGCCUUCUCUCUUCUAGAAAGCUCGGAUAGCAUGUCUGUUGGAUCCCAAAAAUAAUUAACAAGUUAAGCUUUAGCCACAUUUCAAAUUAGAUUUUAAAAAACAUUAACUAGGUAGUAAAAAUAGACUAACCAUAACGUGAUCCAACUCCUUGGCACCUUGCUGAGAAAGCCAAGGUUUCCCUCACAGUCAUUUCUCCAAUAUGAACAUCAUGUUGGCUUAUAUAGGCAGCAGUUCUUUGAGGUACAAACUCAUUCAGUCCAUGGCCAUUGUAAGUCACACUCCCAGUUAGCUGUACAAAUUAAGCAUUCGGCAUCCAAGUUAGAUAAUUUUAGAUAUAAAGUUUACCACCUUUGAUCUACAAGUGAGUUAUAUGAUUUUAUUUACCUGGAGACUUGGAUCAAGCUUUCCAGAUAAGGCUAAAAGAAGUGUGGUCUUUCCUGAACCAGGAGGACCUAAAAGUAGUGUCAUCCUACGAGGUUUAACGAUUCCGCUAACAUCUUUAAGAAUUGACACAUGCCUCUUUUUGGUUGGGAUGAUAUGAAGAAAAUUCAAUACCCCCUGAAAAAAAAAGAUAUAUAUAUAUAUAUAUAUAUAUUUUUAUUUGGGAGACUCAACUGCAAAAAUAAAAAAAAUAGAAAUAGAAAAAGCCUUCAGCAUCAAUUUUCAGGUUCUGAUAUCUAUCCCUACCUCUACAACAUUAGUAGCAGCAUUAAUGAAACUAGGCAAAGCUCUACUUCCCACAAACGCUUCAGCAUCAAUUUUCAGGUUCUGGUAUCGAACUUCAAUUGUUGGAAUAUCAAGUCCAACUCUAUAAUGAGAAGAAAAAACACAAAACAUGUUGAGUUAUGAGAGAAAUAAGAUCAAAAGAAAACAAUGAAGCAAAAAAAGUACAUUUUCUAUAAUAGUUACCUAUCAACUCUUUCCUUGACCUUCAACAGAAACCUUUCAUUAUCCUCUUCAGCAACCUUAACCAACCUCUCCAAAAGUUUCUGCUUUUCUUGAAAAGCAAGAUCACCAACAUCAACUUCAUGAGCACCUCCAUGAGAAGCUGUCAACAAACCUUUUCUUAGACGAUUAUAAGUAGGUAGCUUUUCAAGUGCAGCCCAUUUGAGAGCUUCUUCAUCAUCUUCUUCUCGAGAUGAUUUAGAGAAAACCUCAACUCCACUCUGUCUCCAAACAGUUGAACUUCUUGCUCUUAAACUAUUAGUAGCUCUGUAUAUAUCAGUCCCUUCCAUUUUUGCUGUUAUGAAACAGCUUUAACACAAGCUUGUGUGUUUCUGAUUUUUCUUUUUAAGACAAUGUUAUUAUGAAUUGAACCCAAACAAUAAACUAAAUGAAGUGUAGAAUAUAAUGAAAGAAUGAAAGAAUGAUGAAUGGAAAAAAACUUGUUGUAUUGAUGUUUCUUUGUGGAAAAGGAAAUGAAUAUGGAAUGAGAAAACAUGUUUGUAUAUAUACUACCUUUGAUUCCAAAGAAGUGGCGGCAAUGGAGAGUCAAACGUUGAAAUUUACGUGUUUUUUAGAAGGGACAGGAGAGAAAUAUAUGUCAAAUGGUCAAAUAAUGAAGGAGGACUAGACUAGGCAUCUUGGUUGGUCAUCAUGAGGAAACUUCGUCCUACAUGACAUGUUAAGGUGUCUAACUUGUUGUGGGCCCUAUUCAGAGUAAAGUGCACGGCCUUCUCGAACAAAGUAGGUUCUAAACAUUAAAUCAAACUAUUAUGUGAUCACAUUCUUCAAAAUCAAUUCAUAAAACAUCUGCAAUAUCUAUUUUACAUUAAUGAUUACAUGCAUUUUUUUUUGGUAGAAAAGUUUUAUACUUUCGCUACAUAAAAAUUAAUCUUUGCAAAUAAUUCAAAAAAUGAAAUCAGGGCAAUAUAUUUUUCAUAGAUAUUAUAGGACUAAAACAAGUCGGCUUAAGCCAUAUUAUACAACGAAAAAUAAUAGAGAAAUAAAUACUACUAAUAAGAAUCAAAUCAAAGAAAAAACAAGAGAAUACCAUUCCAAUAAAAAAAACGGUAGUUAGGAAUCAACUAUAAUUAUCUCAGCAGCGACGUCAUUUCUUUUCAUGUUUCAAAAAACAUAAUGUUUGAAAAGUUGGAAUUUCACAUGUUUACUGUUUUAUAGUCCUCACUUCCAAAAUAUUGACAACUAGAACAAUCAUAACCUUGACAUUUAACUCGUGUAUAUUUUUUUUGCUCCAAACAUAACUUUUUUUUUCCAACCAAGUUUAACGGUUUUUUCUUGUGUGUAAAGUUUCACGGUUUUAUUGACCGAAAAAAAAAAAAAUCAGUAAUUUGAUCAUUUAUUUUGAUGGUCUAUUUAUAGACAAAAUACACUAUUAGAAGUGUGCUUAUGGUAAAUCACCCUUUUAUUAAUAAUAGUUUAGUAAAAGUGUUAUAUCUAAUGAUUAUUUCAUUCCAUUUUUUAAUCCGUGUGCAAAUUGGCUAAAGCGACAUUCAUUUUAAAACGGAGGGAGUAAUAUUUUUACGGGAGAGAGAGAGAGAGAAAAAAAAAAAUUAGUUGAAUUGACGUAUGUAUCACAGUUGCGUUGACCAAUGUCAUGUAACAUUCAUGCAUUUAUGGUACACAAAUGGAAUCCGUCGGUUAUAGAGUAAAUAAGAAAAUUCAUUUGAAAUUCCAAAAAAGGAAAAAAAAAAUCUUUCUUGAAAUCGUUAGAUGUUAAGCAACUUGUCUUCCGUAAGUUUUUUCUAUAUGUACGUGAAAGUUUAUUGUCUACGUGAUAUGACAUGUCAUGUCAGUCACAUUGGCAAUUUGAUUAGUUUUUUUUUUUUUAAUUUGAUUUUUUUUUAAAGAUUACGAGCAAAUUCUCUCUUGAAAUGGUAUACUUAUAUGCAAAAUUUGUCCUUUUGGUGACUCGAUUCGACUUGAGUGUAGAACUAAAAAAAUACAACUCUCUCCACGUAAAAGACCUCUCGUUCUUUCGGUAAAUGAUAAAAAAAGAAACUCACUCUAAAACUUUUUUUUCUUAACAUAGUUAGCUUGAUUGAUAUUUCAUUACUUUGUUUUCCCUGUAAAUUGAUAAUCAUCUUUGAAACAUGUCAGAUAUUAAAUAUGAAUAUCUCUCUUAUUUUAUAUUUAAACUUUGGUUCACUAUGUUGUAAAAGUCUAACUUCUCCACUAAAUCCAACCCACUCAUUCAAUAUAGUUACUCUAAUGCUUAACAUCACUAUGAGAAAUCACAUUCAAAAGCAUUUGUAUAAUUUCAAUAUUUGCUGCUUAUACCGCCAAAAUAUUUGUUUACUUUAAAAAAAUAUGUUGAUAGAUUUUAAUUGGUGGCUGAUGUAUGAUACAAUUCUUAGAAUGAAUCAAUGUUUGGUAUGUAUCAUAAGUUUAAGAUAACAAAAUCCUCUAAAUUAACAAAUUACCCUAUGAAAUUGAAGUUUGUUAAUCUAUUUAGCCUCUCUUAGGAUCAAUUUCGAAGAAUCUAAAUGACAAAAUCCUUUACUCUUUAAUCUUAUUAGGUUUGCAACAACUAAACCUAGAAAAUUCCCUCCAAAUGAUUCACAUUAAUUGCUAAGUGCUAACCCUAAUUAUGUAUUUUCUUCCAACACUUCUUCAAUUUGAAAUUCAAAAAAUUUUGUUAGGAACCAUGAACUGCAUUAAAUUACAUUUAUUGCUAUAUCCCUUGAAAAAUACGGAGCUCUUCAACCGAGCGCACAUCUUCAAAAUAAUUAAUACACUGUAUAAGAUCUCUUCUAUUAUUAAAUUCUAUGAUAUAUGCAGAUAUGAUAUGUAUUUGGUUGGAAAAAUAUAUUAUUACUUUUAGUAAAUAUCAAAGUGUAAUUAUUCCUUUUAGAGCUGUAUGUGUAGUUUAGAAAUUCUAUUAAUUGAAGUGACUUUGUUUUUCAUGUUAGUAGAAAUUUAAAACAAUUAUUACAUGUCAAUUUUUUGUUUAACUAUAAAAGUAAUAAAAUAAAUAAAAUUGACCCGUGCAACAAUAUAAUAUUGUAUCUUUUUUAUUUAUAAUUUAAAAAAUAACGUGAAGAUAAUGCCCCAAUAAUAUAUUGUGAUAAAAUAAAAUAACAGUCUUUAAUUAAUUAGCUUUUCAGAACUAAGAUGUAAAAUUUGAUAAGAUUCAAGUGUCAUUGAAGGACAUAGUAAGAAAAAUUUGAUUGUAAUAUUGUAUCUCUAAUAAUCUAAUUUGCGUUUAUUGAUCGAUAUCUUACGGGUUAAAGAUUAUUCAUUUGUCUCUAUUAUAGCCGACAAGACCCGUGCGUCGCACGGGUCAAAAGUCUAGUAAAUAUAAAUGAAAGUACUUAUAAAAUUUCUUGAAAUAAUAUAGUACUUUAAUUGAAGAUGUCCUUAACAUGUUAACUAAAUGAAAGUACAUUAUAAACCAAUCAUAAAUUGUUAUAUCGUUAAGUUUGAUUUUAGUCAAAACUACCUUAGAAUCAUGCAUUAUAUGAUUUAUACUGUUUUUAAGGGAUUUACAAUUAUUAGUUGACUAUGAAAGAAAAUUUACACAAAGCACAAUUUAUCAAAAAAAAAAAAAAUUUGAGAAAGAAGCACAGAGUAUCAAAAUUAAACUCUAAAUAUUUGUACCAAAAAGAAAAAAACUCUAUAAAUAUAACAUUUUGUCUCCUUAAAAAAAACAUUGUCAAAAGAAGAAUGCUAGCAACACUAUUUUUUUAGCACUCUAUUUAAUACUUACUUUAUCAUUGGAUGAAAUCAAUGUGGACUCCACUAUUUAUAUGGAAUCCAUUUCCAAAAUGUAGGAUCACAUUGAUUUCAUAUAAUGAAUUGUGAAUAUGGGGUGGCUUUAUGCUAAGUUACAAUAACAUUUCUUUGUUAGAAUAACAUCUUAGAUAGAAAAUAAUCAAGAAGUGAAGAAACAAAGGGAUAUACAAACAAUAUUUGGUAACACCUUGUAAUUCCUUUUUUUUUUUUUAUUAUUUCCAGUUUAGGGUUUACAUACACCUUGUAUUUAAAUAGCACGGUUCACAUUAUAUUAUCCCCUUCCCACUUAAAACAAUUCGUUUCGCUUAACUAUGAGUCAUACAACUUUUGCAUAACAUAAUAAGACUAGUAAAGCAACAUGAAGAAAACCAAAAUGCGCCAGUCCAAAAGUUACACAGCUCUUCAUUACAAAACAAUUAUGUAUAUGCACCAAAUUUGAAGAGGCUGAAUUUAAUAUUCCAGCCUUGUCACACAGGACAUAUUUGACAGUUGAUGCAAAUAACUUCUUGUAUGCAAAUUCAGUAUUAAGUUGAACAAUAUCAAUUAUCAAAGGAACUUAGAAUUAAGAACUCAAAAAUGAGCAUAAAAGGCUGGUCUAAAAAAAUACACUAUCUUUCAUUGAUGAUCAAAAUGAUAAUACAAAAUUAUUGUCUUAUUCAAAUUCAAAUGCUUGUACAUUUAUAAAGGAAGCUUUAAAUUGUGUCAAACAAAGGGGAAAUAAAUUUCCUAAGAAACUAAGGCAUGGGAUAUAGAUACAGGUAUUAUACAAGCUAGGAAAAAUUGGGGAGGGAAAAUAAAAAAUAAAAAGAAUCUUUCUUGUUGGAGAAAGAGUGCAAACUAUCUCUUUUGGAAGUUAAAGGACUUGAUUGCAACAGCGAAAAUAAAGGCAAAGCCCACGGCAAUUCCACCGACCACAAGUGCACACCAUCCUAUGAAGUCGUGUUGGAUACCAAAAAAGUCGUCAAGGAAAGUCUUUACAUCUUUUCCGCCUUCGGUCGACAUAACAGUAGUUAUAUCUCCAAAUUGAGAUGCAACCAAUCCAUAGAUGGUCCAUGCAACUGGACAUGCCCAAUAGUACCAUCUCCACCAUAUUGGAAUGCUCUGUUAUCAAAAGGCAAGAAAAUGGUUAGGAUACAUAUAACAUACAUCCAUUGAAACAGUCUUUCACAAUGUACUAUAUACUAAUACUUACAGGUCUUGGGACGACAAAUCCUGAAAAGAGAUUCCAAAUUGCAUAAAAUGCAGCAGCCACAAUAGAAGCAACAUGGUGAUUUGGUGUCACUGCCACAGCCAUCAUACCAUAGAAGGUGAAGUAGAGCAAUGUGAAGUACAUGAAGAAUAGAUACCACAAGAAUUUCUCUGCAGUCCAGUCAAAUCCGAUCAUGGCAUAGACUAUAGCUCCAUAUGUCACGGCUUGGGCAAAGACAUAAGGCAACUCUACCAAAAUCUGUAAUAAAGAGGGAGUUGUUAAUAUGAGAAUUUUCAGUUUGCAAACUAAAUUAGUAGUAGUAGUAGUUGUAGUAGUAGUAGUAAUAGUUUUAGUAAUAGUUAUAAUAAUAGUAAUGUCAGUAGAUUAAACAAUGAUAAUAGUUACCUGUGAAAAUGCAUAGGGUAAGGCAGAGUACAUUCCAGCAGCUUUUUCUCUAUAAAAUACAGUUCUUUCCACUGCAACCACGGGCUGCACAGAAGAAGAAUUUUGUACUCCAAGGAAGAGGACAGCGGUAUACAUUGAACCAACAGCGUUCAGAAGGUCUUGUCUACUUGAGCUGCAAGUCACCAAAAGGAAUUAGUAUUCCAGCGUAGAUAAACAGAGGGAGAUGACAAAAUAUAAUAUUUUGUCAAUAUUAUGAACUUAUUUUUUAAUUAAAAGUAGUUUGUUUGACUUACUGUUUUCCACCGAGGUCCCAGAACAUUGUUCCAAACAUCAAGCCUAUGAAUGUAGUGAAGAAAAACCUCACAGCAGUGUAUGGUGGAUUACGCCAAUAUGACCAACGUUGUUUCCAUAAGCAGGCCUGGCAUUGGACCAAGAAAGACUGCGAGAAUUGAGUAGGGAAAUGAAGAUCCUUUGAACCAGGAGCAGGUACGCUAAGUUCUUGAAUAAGUUGCUUGUUUCUCCUGGAGAGCCAUACAAAAUAGUUUAAGCAGGUAGCAAAUAAGAAAAACAAACAUGACAACAAUAGCUUCUAUAGUUGAUUGAUUAAUAUCUGUAUGCAUUAGUUUACCUAUAUAGAUCAGAAUUUUUGUACAAGUCAGUGAAAUCAACGCCCAAAUUAAGUUCUUGUGCGGUAGUUGUAACUUCCAACAUCCAUGUUGCUGGGUUAUAUCCGUCUUUGAUUUUACUCACUCCGUCAAUGCUCUGCAACGAAAGUUAUUUGAAAAUUUCAGUAACUAAUUACAAUCAAGAAAUAGAGUCAUUCCCGUAAGGUAAUACUUCAUUUAAGUAGAGGAUCCUACCUCAAAAUACUUGAUCAAAUGAGUAGAAUGACGACCCAAUGGUCCAACAUAUAUUUCUUGUCCUCCACGUUUCAUAAGGAAUAGCUAGAAAUGCAUAUGUAUAAUAUGUCAGAUUCAAGUCUAAUGAAGAGGAAAAGAACUAAAAAAGGCAGAUUCAUUUGUCAUUAAUAUUUUUUAUGACCAUUCACUACAUACCUCAUCAAAUGCUUCAAAUAUGUCAAUGCUAGGCUGAUGGAUGGUACACACAACUGUUCUUCCUGUGUCCACUGUGUUCCUUACAGUUCUCAUAACAAUUGCAGCAGCUCUAGCAUCUAAACCAGAAGUAGGCUCAUCCAUAAAAAUUAUAGAUGGAUUAGCCACAAGUUCAACUGCAAUAGUCAGUCUCUUGCGCUGUUCAGUUGAGAGACCACUCACACCAGGCAAACCAACUAGAGAGUUCCUCAAUGAGUUCAGCUCCACUAGAUCCAUGACUUCGUCAAUAAACAUCUGCAACCAUUUGUAAUGUUCAUUAAGUAAGGUAAACGAAGGUAAACAAAGCCACGCCGAAUAAACCAUGUACUAACUAACCUUUCUGGUGUUGGAAUCAACUCCUGAAGGUAAACGAAGCCACGCUGAGUAAAGCAAAGACUCAUAAACUGUAACAUGAGGUGAAUGGAUAUCAUUCUGCUCACAGUAACCGGAGAUUCUAGCAAAUGUUUCUUGCUUUUUAGGAUACCCAGAAACCUUGAUGUCUCCAUCAAUAUAUCCACCUGUUUUCCUACCAGCCAGAACAUCCAUCAGAGUUGUUUUACCAGCUCCACUUACACCCAUCAAAGCCGUAAGUACACCAGGCCUGAAUGCGCCACUAACACCCUUCAAAAGCACUAAUCUGUCCUCUGUAACACCUUGCUCCUUCAUUUCCUGCCAGUUGAAAUAAAAGUCAUGUGAGAAAAAUCAUUUUUGUCUGAGAAAAUAUGAAUUGUUAUACAUAUCUAAAAGCUGAACAUAUCACUUUGUGCGAGUCUUACCGCUGGCAUGUCAACAGAGUAUACAAUAUCAUCAAAAGUGAUAGAAUGUGGUUCAAAUGGAAGAACCAUUCCCUUUUUCUUUCCAUGGCUGGAUUCUGUAACAGAAUCUCUUCUACCUGAACUUUCUGAAAGACAAUAGGAAAAAUGUUCAGCUACUAAACUAUAUGAUAAACUACAAUAUGUUUGCCUUCAUGAGUGAUAUGCAUAUAAUCAAGAAAGCUCACCAAUACGUGGUAAUUCAACUUCUUGUACGGUAGAUGAAUCAUCUUCUGAAUCUUCUUCAGUUAUUGUUGCACUAGGCUUAUCAAAUGGGCCUAGUACAGCGAGAGCCACACCAAAUGCCGCGUUGAAAAGGAACACAAAUCCAACCAAUCCCCCAACGCCUAUCCAAUACCAAUAUGCAUGUGGGAAGAACCCUCGGGUAUCGAGAUAAUUUUUUCCCAAAUCAAAAGUAGCCUAUAAUUAAGUAUAUAAAAUAAAUCAGGCUUGUAAAUUUCUCAAACAAAAGUAGAUGAAUUAUAAAGUUGCAAGCAAGCUCAAGUAAUUACAUUGUGCCAACUGUUCCCAAGAAAUUCAUUGGCCAUCAAAGCAUUCUGCCCAUACAUCAAAGGUGAGAUCCAGUAACCCCAAAUCCACCAGCCUUUGAUAUCCUCUGUUUUCAAUAGCAAUAAAAUGUAAGAAACAUUAAUUACCUAAGGCUUCAUGUCUUUACAAAAAAUUAAAUUUAACAACAUUUUUAUCUUUUUUUGUUAAAAUUAAAUGUGUUAGUCAAUUUAACUUACUUCUUGAGAGAAUGAAGCCACCCAAUGCAAGAAGUGUGAGAACUGCAAAGGACCCAAAUGUAUUGGCAACAAUCAUGUUUCUACCCAGGGAUGCGAUGGCUCGGAACAAUCCUGAAGCCAUCUGACUCAUGAAAAACAACACAAGGAACUGCUUGAACAUCCUGCCAAAAUUCAAGACCUCACAUCAUAAGUAACAUCAAAUGCAAACAAGAUAGAAGUGGCAUUCAAUACCACAUGCUCCAAACAGAAUAAAAGAAAUUUCUUUUACCUUCCAACAUUUGGAUCAAAUCCAAUAACAUAGUAGGUAAGAAACACCCAUAGAGAAACUUCCACUAAUGAGAUGGGAAUCUUGAGAAUCCACGAAGGAAUAGCAUAUGCCCAUGAGGGAUAAAAUAGAAGGUCUCGUUGCUUGUAGUAAACAGGAAGCUUAGCAAUGGUCAUAGAAAUCUCAGACAUUCCAUUAAACAUCAUCGUUACCAGUGUGAAAAACAAAGCACCAGCAUAAACACCCGCAUCAUCCUGAUUAUUGCGAUGCAUCUCAGUCCGA